This 258-nucleotide ribosomal RNA is filed under the name uncultured bacterium. RNAcentral describes it as "partial 16S ribosomal RNA". It matches the Rfam family "Bacterial small subunit ribosomal RNA", at positions 524 to 776 of the family's 1533-position model. The record is from RNAcentral.
UACAGAGGUCCCAAGCGUUUGUUCGGAUUCACUGGGCGUAAAGGGGUGCGUAGGCGGUCGGGGUAAGUCUGAUGUGAAAUCUCCAAGCUCAACUUGGAAAUGGCAUCGGGAUACUAUUCGGCUCGAGGAAUGGAGGGGAGACUGGAAUACUUGGUGGUAGCAGUGAAAUGCGUAGAUAUCAAGUGGAACACCAGUGGCGAAGGCGAGUCUCUGGACAUUUCCUGACGCUGAGGCACGAAAGCCAGGGGAGCAAACGGG